AUUGAACGCUAGCGGGAUGCUUUACACAUGCAAGUCGAGCGAGCGGCGGACGGGUGAGUAAUGUAUGGGGACUGCCCGAUAGAGGGGGAUAACUACUGGAAACGGUAGCUAAUACCGCAUACUAUCGGAUAACCCAUAUGGGAUUAGAUAGUAGGUGAGGUAAUGGCUCCACUAGGCGACGAUCCCUAGCUGGUCUGCGAGGAUGAUCAGCCACACUGGGACGGAGACACGGCCCAGACUCCUACGGAGGCAGCAGUGGGGAAUAUUGCACAAUGGGCGCAAGCCUGAUGCAGCCAUGCAGCGUGUAUGAAGAAGGCCCUAGGGUUGUAAAGGACUGUCAGUCGGGAGGCGUUACCGACAGAAGAAGCACCGGCUAACUCCGUGCCAGCAGCCGCGGUAAUUC
RNAcentral lists this ribosomal RNA (403 nucleotides) under uncultured bacterium. Its description in RNAcentral is "partial 16S ribosomal RNA". It matches the Rfam family "Bacterial small subunit ribosomal RNA", at positions 30 to 526 of the family's 1533-position model. The record is from RNAcentral.